This is a non-coding RNA of Mycena epipterygia, 90 nucleotides long. NCBI's taxonomy places the organism in Eukaryota, Fungi, Basidiomycota, Agaricomycetes, Agaricales, Mycenaceae. The record is from the annotation of a GenBank genome assembly.
GUCCCGCUGGUGCACGGUCCACAUCCGCCCUUCAUUCGUAAAUAAGGCAUUUUUAAGCGGAAGAACCCCGUUCGACUCGGGGGCGGGACA